UGCAGUCGAGCGGACUUAUAAAAGCUUGCUUUUGUAAGUCAGCGGCGGACGGGUGAGUAACACGUGGGCAACCUGCCUGUAAGACUGGGAUAACUUCGGGAAACCGGAGCUAAUACCGGAUAAUAUAAGGAACCUCCUGGUUCUUUAUUGAAAGAUGGUUUCGGCUAUCACUUAUAGAUGGGCCCGCGGCGCAUUAGCUAGUUGGUGAGGUAACGGCUCACCAAGGCAACGAUGCGUAGCCGACCUGAGAGGGUGAUCGGCCACACUGGGACUGAGACACGGCCCAGACUCCUACGGGAGGCAGCAGUAGGGAAUCUUCCACAAUGGACGAAAGUCUGAUGGAGCAACGCCGCGUGAGCGAUGAAGGCCUUCGGGUCGUAAAGCUCUGUUGUUAGGGAAGAACAAGUGCGAGAGUAACUGCUCGCACCUUGACGGUACCUAACCAGAAAGCCACGGCUAACUACGUGCCAGCAGCCGCGGUAAUACGUAGGUGGCAAGCGUUGUCCGGAAUUAUUGGGCGUAAAGCGCGCGCAGGUGGUCCUUUAAGUCUGAUGUGAAAGCCCACGGCUCAACCGUGGAGGGUCAUUGGAAACUGGGGGACUUGAGUGCAGAAGAGGAAAGUGGAAUUCCAAGUGUAGCGGUGAAAUGCGUAGAGAUUUGGAGGAACACCAGUGGCGAAGGCGACUUUCUGGUCUGUAACUGACACUGAGGCGCGAAAGCGUGGGGAGCAAACAGGAUUAGAUACCCUGGUAGUCCACGCCGUAAACGAUGAGUGCUAAGUGUUAGAGGGUUUCCGCCCUUUAGUGCUGCAGCUAACGCAUUAAGCACUCCGCCUGGGGGAGUACGGUCGCAAGACUGAAACUCAAAAGGAA
Molecule: ribosomal RNA, 872 nt
Filed under: Sutcliffiella horikoshii
Lineage: Bacteria; Bacillati; Bacillota; Bacilli; Caryophanales; Bacillaceae
Description: bacterial SSU rRNA
Rfam family: Bacterial small subunit ribosomal RNA
Source: RNAcentral